RNA transcript from Aedes albopictus (Asian tiger mosquito), 9276 nucleotides. RefSeq lists it as uncharacterized. The transcript has 2 exons. NCBI's taxonomy places the organism in Eukaryota, Metazoa, Arthropoda, Insecta, Diptera, Culicidae. The record is from RefSeq and is a predicted model, not a curated record.
CUGUGCGAAACGAUCAAACCACACAGGCGGUGAGACAACUGGUCAUUCCCUCGAGCACCGUUUAAUGGUCAAAUCAUUUGGGGUAUGACUAACACUACAAAGGCGUGAGGAGAUGUGGUAGAUGUUAUUUUUUUUGUUAUCAGGUGGCACAAGAUUGGCAGUUCAUUAUAAUAGACUAGCAAAACAGUUUGUUAAUUCUUUAGCCUGUAAGUUAUCAGUGUUGAGCAUUCGAAAUCAAAAUUAAUAAUAUAAUUUGAACUCCUUAGAUAUUGGAUUGAGCCUAGAAUAUUUGAAUACUAUUGAUUACGCGUUGUGAGUACUGACUAGAACAGUGCAAUUAGAAUUCAUUAGGUGAGUCAGACGAACAGAAAUUUAACUCUAUUGUGUACUGAGUAGUUUCCCUGGAUAUUAUAGACGGCGUAUUGUUCGGCCUUGCAGUUGUAGCGACAGUGCAACUAUCGUACUAGGGGUGCACAGUAAGUAAUGCGAAACCCAAGAAUGGUUAUUGCGACAUGAAUUAGAAUUGGAUUUUGUAGGAUUGAAUUUAGAACGGUUGUCCAUUUGAGAAGGUCUAGGGAGCAAAAAUACCUCGCAACACAGAAAUGUGAGUAUUAUGAUCGAAAUAUUGUAUAAAAAUUACUCAAUGAAAUAUAUUGCAGCUAUGAAGUUGCGCAGUAAAGCAGCUAUCCAGAUUCGUGUUCUACGCCCACGCUUCCCACAACAUUCUUCAUAGAUUUCUAUCCUAAGUUGGAAAGAAGUCUAGGACCGAAACCUUCUACUCAACGGUGCCCCGGAUAUUGGUCAGCGGUCAACUGCAACGAACAUUCACCGUUGUGAAUAUCAAUAAAGUCAGUACAUUAGUUUAGUAUUAAGUACAUCUACUGUCCGCGCGUUACACAUUCGCAGUUAACCACGUAGUCAGUUUCGGGUCGAGAGUGUCAAGUGUGUCACAAUUAAGUGAUCGGUGAAGUAGUUAUCCUUCGGAGUCUGGAGGAAACCUGCCGCAGUAUGGCCACCAAUCAGGUGAACAGGACCCGCUGUGAAAAGUGCGAUAUGGAUGAUACGGCAGAGAUGAUCCACUGUGAAUUAUGCUACAGGCGGGAACAUUUCGGUUGCGCUGGAGUACCAGAUGGCUUUAACCCCGCGAAUUCUACUUGGUGCUGCCAACAGUGUGAAGCAGAGAAGAUUGCCGCCAACGUUCCGAGAUCUACACGAAGUUCUACGUCGAGCAGGAGAUCACUCCGUUUGAAGUUGGCCUUGGAAGAACUGGAGGUGCGGAACCGACUCCGCAUGAAGGAAAUAGAAGCCGAGAAGGAGUUUUUUAAGCAAAAGUAUGAGCUGCUCAAGCAGAUGGAAGAUGAAGACGAUCGGGAGAGCCGGCGCAGUAUAGUUAGCGAGAAAACUAAGCGUGAAAGGCUGGAAAAGUGGUUGGCCAAACAUCCCAACGGAGUUGAAACAACAGGUGGGACGAAAUCAGCAGAUAUAUCGCAAGAAGAUGCAACCAUCCAUCAACUAGAACAUACCCCGCAGAGUUCAUCUACGUUAAACCGGAUAGUUGAGGAGACUCCAGUGCCGGCCGUAGUCAGUCAGUGCUCAAUCCCAGCAGUAGGCCCAGUGCAACUGAAUAGUUCGCUCUUGGGAGGCACGAUACUUACACCAGCCGACAUGGACAUCUCGGCGAAUAACAUCGUCAGCAAUGAGCCUCCCCCGCCAGUCGUAGCGAGGUCGAGUGCAGCGAUCUGCUUUAGUACCCCUGUUGCGAUUACGUCAAGUAAUCUAGUAAACCCAUUACCGGCAGCGAUUUCCACUACUGGGAAUUUCCAACACAUUUCUGGGAAACAAUCAGCAGCGCAUCCAAUCCAGAAAGCGAGCAUAUCAGUACAACACCCAUCACAGUGGGAUACAAGUCAGGUGACGACCGAAGGAAAUGUCGCCAAUGUAAGAGGAAACGUACAACCGACAAUACAGUCGUAUAGCAGAGAAGUCCACAGCGGAAUUCAGUCGGGCGUAACUACGGCUCCAAUGCAAUCACAUGAGCAAAUUCCGUCAUGGGUCUCAAACAAGAACAUUGGCCAACGAAGCUUACACACCGAUAACGAGCAUCCAUCAGGAGUGUAUCCAGUAUCAUCUACGAUGUCGGAGAUCAACGGACCUUACUUCGGAUCGCAGUUCCGUCACAAUUUAGGCGGUACGUUCCCGUCGUCGGUGUACACGUCAGGAACACAACCAUUGCCUUCGUAUCCAGCGGCAGGACAGUAUUCUGUGGUUCAGCUCGUUCCUCCAGGAAUGAUUCCACCACAACAGCCGCCAGCAAUUUGGCCGGUGCAACAGCCGAGGACAAUAGUGCAAUCCGGAGUUCAUUUUAGCUCUCCUAUAGUAGCUCCAUCAGUAGCAGUACCAUCGACGGAAACCCGUGAGAAUGCAACUGUGAGGAUGUCAACAGCAGAACGAAGUUCUUCAAUACCUGGAACAUCUUUCGUUGUCCCACCUUCAUCACGCUCGUUUGCACCGCGUGGUACAACUUCGUACACACCAUUGGACAACGAACACUUACAACGUCAGAAUGGCCCAACCGCAUCCCAAAUCGCAGCUCGCCAAGUUAUUUCUCGUGACCUACCAACGUUUUCAGGCAAUCCAGAAGACUGGCCUAUCUUCUUCAGCUCAUUCCAAAACUCUACGGAGACGUGCGGGUACAGCGAUGCCGAAAACCUUGCGCGAUUGCAGCGAUGUUUGAAAGGUGCAGCACUGGAGGCAGUAAGGAGCCGACUUCUUCUUCCAGCAUCAGUUCCAAAUGUUAUCGAGACUCUGCACAAGUUGUAUGGCAAACCCGAAAACCUUAUCAACUCUCUACUGAGAAAAGUGCGCAACACUCCGUCACCAAAAUCAGACAACCUUCAUUCCAUUAUUACGUUUGGAUUGGCGGUUCAAAACUUGGUGGACCAUAUCAUCAUUGCAGAACAGGACUCACACCUGGCGAAUCCUAUGCUGCUGCAGGAACUAAUGGGAAAACUGCCCACGUCGUUGAAGUUACAGUGGGGAGCUUUCAAACGUUCCUACGCCGACGUUAAUCUCACCACCUUCAAUGAAUUCAUGGUGGAGAUGGUUGAUCUUGCCUCUGAUCUCACAGUAAACGAAGAUGCGCCAAGUGGACAGAAGCAACAAAAAGAAGAGAGAAGCAGGCGGAAAGAGAAACUCUUUGUCCACUCUCACGAAGAACUUAAGGAAACUGAGAAGAUACAAGAUUUGAAGCUGAAUGAACAAGCCAAACUUUGUUCAAACUGUGGCGUUAGUGGACAUCAGAUUCUUCAAUGUAUCAACUUCAAAGCGAUGAGCGUAGAGGACCGGUGGAAGGCAAUUCGACAGAGAAAUCUUUGCCGCAGUUGUCUUAUACCACAUCGUAAGUGGCCAUGUAGAUCCAAGAAGGAAUGCGGAAAGGAUGGAUGUACUAGCAGACAUCACUGGCUGCUUCACGAACCACGGAAGACACUACCACAACAAAACGCAGCUACUACGACAACGAGAUCAACUGGAAGCACUCAAGUUGCCCAUCAAAACCAUCACUUCGAUCAGUCAUAUUCUCUCUUCCGCUACGUGCCAAUUACCGUUUAUGGAAACGGGAAGCAGAUUGAUAUCUAUGCUUUUCUUGAUGAAGGAUCUAGCACCACAAUGAUUGAGACAGGCGUAGCAGAUCUGCUGGAAGUCAACGGGCCAAAAGAAUCUCUUUGGUUGACGUGGACUGGAGAAAUCACAAGAGAAGAAAAGGAAUCCCGCAUCAUCAGUAUUGCAGUCGCAGGAGCCGGGAUCAAUAGGAAAUUCUCAAUUGGAAAUGUGCGCACCGUAGAGGAAUUAAAGCUUCCCAGACAGUCGUUCUGCUAUGAAGUCAUGGCAGAAAAAUAUCCCCACCUUAGGAGAAUUCCCAUCAAGAGCUAUCACAAUGCGACACCGCGUAUGAUCAUAGGUAUUGAACAUGUUCGCCUUCUGACCUCACAGAAACUACGUGAAGGGAAAGGAGAAGGGCCAGUUGCCGUGAAAACACGGCUUGGUUGGAGCGUAUUCGGUAGGCAAACGGAGAAGAUACCUACUGUUGAACGUGUGAACUUUCACCAUUCGGAAUCGCUCAGUAAUCGCGCGCUACACGAUUCCAUGAAGCAGUUCUUUCGUUUAGAAGAGAGCACAGUCACGACGAAAAUGGAAGCGGAAGAGGACAAAAGAGCACGUCAACUGUUAGAGCAGAGAACGGUACGGACAGGAAGCCGGUUUGAAACAGGCUUGCUUUGGAAAGUGGACAAUCCGUCGCUUCCAAAUAGUUUCCCCAUGGCGCUUCAAAGGUUGAAGUCUCUGGAAAGAAAACUAGCGCGUGAUCCUGGACUACGACAACGAGUAAAAGACCAGAUCAACGGCUACUUGGCAAAAAAUUACGCACAUAAAGCCUCGGAACAGGAGCUGGAAGACACCAAUACGAAACACUCAUGGUAUCUUCCACUAGGAGUAGUGGAAAACCCGAAGAAGCCUGGCAAAACACGCCUCAUUUGGGAUGCCGCUGCUAAAGUUCAAGGAAUAUCGCUCAAUGACUUGCUAUUGAAAGGGCCAGACCUUCUUACAUCGCUGUUAGCCGUCUUGAUGAGAUUUAGGCAACACAACAUCGCUGUUUCCGGUGACAUAGCGGAAAUGUUUCAUCAGAUUCGUAUAAGAGAUGAUGAUAAACAGUUUCAGCGUUUCCUUUGGCGAGACGACCCAGAAGACGAGGUGCAAGUGUACGUCAUGGAUGUAGCUACCUUUGGGGCCACCUGUUCCCCAUGUACGGCACAAUAUAUAAAAAACCGGAAUGCACUCGAGUUUGCUGAAUCCUUUCCAAGAGCCGUGGAAGGAAUCAUAAAAAACCAUUACGUAGAUGAUUUUCUGGAUAGCGUGAAUACAGAAGAAGAGGCGGUUGAAUUGGUCGGAGAAGUUAAAAUGAUUCAUGCAGCAGCGGGGUUCCAAAUAGGAAAAUUCCAGUCAAACUCCUCGACGGUGUUGUCACGACUGGGAGAACCAGUGAAAACAGAUGUCAAGUCAUUGAAUUUGGACAAGCAGGAUGGAACUGAGCGAAUUCUAGGAAUGGUAUGGUCAGUAACAGCGGAUGUAUUCACCUUUGAUACUCUGGCGCUACCAAGUAUUCAGCAAUUAGUCAAGAGCGGUAUGGUGCCGACAAAGCGUCAAGUCCUACGGGCAGUGAUGUCACUAUUCGAUCCGCUUGGUUUGGUAGCCCAUUACGUGGUGCAUGGGAAGAUAUUAAUGCAGGAGAUUUGGAGAUCUGGAACUGAAUGGGAUGAACCAAUUGCUGGACAUCUACAUGACACCUGGUACCGCUGGAUUGAGCUACUCUACCAGCUGAGCGAAGUGCGAGUUCCCCGGUGUUAUUUCAGUGGAGAGAAACUGCAACAUCUACAGCUCCACGUAUUUGUCGAUGCCAGUGAAAUGGCGUAUGCGGGUGUGGCGUACCUACGAGUGGAUUCCGGGACCGAACGAAAAUGUACGCUGGUUAUGGCGAAAACUAAAGUGUCACCACUGAAGCCGUUGUCAGUUCCGCGGCUUGAGCUACAAGCAGCGAUGCUAGGCGCACGACUUGCGCAAAGCAUUGGCUCUUCUCUAACAAUACCAAUAGAGCACCGUUACUUCUGGUCAGACUCAUCGACGGUUUUGUCUUGGUUGAGUUCGCAACGACGUCGUUACCAUCAGUUCGUGGAGUUUCGAGUCGCUGAAAUUCUCUCAUUAACUUGCAUUGAUGAGUGGCGAUACGUUCCCACUAAGUUAAACGUGGCUGAUAUAGCAACAAAGUGGGGUAGUGGGCCAAGUUUUCAGCCACAUCAGGAAUGGUAUCUAGGUCCAGCUUUUCUAUAUCAACCAAAUGAGACUUGGCCGAUUAACCAAAAGGUGGUUGGUGCAACCAUUGAAGAGCUGCGGCCUAUGUUCCUACACCACGUGAAGAUCAUGGAGCGUACGUUUGAUUGGACGCGCUUCUCUAACUGGAACCGGCUUAUCAGAACAGCAGCAUAUGUGUACAGAGCCAUAGCAAUCUUUAAGAGACGUCGAAACACGCGCAGCAGCUACAAAAUCCUUCAGAAAGAUGAAUUCGCCAAGGCGGAGGCAGCGGUCGUGCGACAAAUUCAGGCUGAAGAAUACCCAGAUGAGAUUGCUUUACUAGGUCAUAACAGCGAGGAGAGGAGCCUAUCAAAAUCUAGUGUGCUGUAUGCUUUGUCACCAUUCCUAGAUGAAAAUGGUAUAAUACGAAUGGGUAGUCGUACGGAGAAAGCACCAAAUAUGGCUUACAAUACGAAGUAUCCAAUAAUUCUUCCAAAGAGCCAUGCCGGCACAACGCUUUUAGUGGACAGUUUCCAUCGGAAAUACCUACAUGCUAAUGGAGAGACAGUGCACAACGAAAUCCGUCAACUGUAUUACAUUUCCGGUUUACGAACAGUGAUACGCAAAGUUACACGUGAGUGUCAACUCUGCAAAGUGAAAAAAGCAGUUCCUCGUGCUCCAAUGAUGGCAGCGUUACCCAGAGUACGUCUAACGCCCUUCAUUCGUCCUUUCACGUUCCUGGGAAUUGAUUAUUUUGGGCCCCUAGAAGUCAAUAUUGGACGAAAGACAGACAAAAGGUGGGUAGCGCUCUUUACAUGUUUGACGGUCAGAGCGAUCCAUCUGGAAGUCGUGCACAGCCUUUCCACGGAGUCCUGUGUGAUGGCUUUCCGGAGAUUCGUAGCAAGAAGAGGCGCACCACUGGAGGUAUAUUCAGAUAACGCUACAAAUUUCGUCGGAGCGAGUCGUCUUUUGGUAGAAGAAAUCCGAAGCAUUAACGAAGAAUGCGCAGCCACAUUUACGAACGCUCACACAACAUGGAAGUUCAACGUUCCCGCGGCGCCGCACAUGGGUGGCCCGUGGGAAAGAAUGGUCAGAUCCGUGAAAACGGGAAUGAAAGCUAUAACAGAGUCGGCAAGACUCCCGAACGACGAAGUACUGCAAACAAUACUACUGGAAGUUGAAGCUGUUGUCAACAACACGUCCGCUAACAUACAUUCCGUUGGAAUCGGCGGAGCAGGAAGCCCUCACGCCGAAUCAUUUUCUGCUGUAUGGGUCCAACGGAAUAAAGCAACCAGCAACACAACCAGUAGAUACCGGAUCAGCUUUGCGAAGUAGCCACAAGUUUGCACAACGAUUGGUGGAUGGAUUUUGGCAACGGUGGGUUCGGGAAUACCUGCCGAUACUGAGCAGGAGAUCUAAGUGGUUCGAUUCGGUGAAGCCAAUACAACCAGGAGACAUCGUGAUAGUAAUGGAUGAUAAGGUGAGAAGUUCGUGGAUGAAAGGCCGUGUAUUGGACGUAACAAAAGGUAAAGGAGGGCACGUUAGGAGUGCCAAGGUUCAGACCACCAAAGGAGUGUUUUCCAGACCGGCGGUCAAGCUAGCAGUUUUGGAUGUACGGAAGGAGAGUGGAGAAGAUCUUGGAGACGGCGCCAGGGCUGAUCCAGUUGUUCACGGGGAGGGGAAUGUUGUCGCAACCACUGUGCGAAACGAUCAAACCACACAGGCGGUGAGACAACUGGUCAUUCCCUCGAGCACCGUUUAAUGGUCAAAUCAUUUGGGGUAUGACUAACACUACAAAGGCGUGAGGAGAUGUGGUAGAUGUUAUUUUUUUUUGUUAUCAGGUGGCACAAGAUUGGCAGUUCAUUAUAAUAGACUAGCAAAACAGUUUGUUAAUUCUUUAGCCUGUAAGUUAUCAGUGUUGAGCAUUCGAAAUCAAAAUUAAUAAUAUAAUUUGAACUCCUUAGAUAUUGGAUUGAGCCUAGAAUAUUUGAAUACUAUUGAUUACGCGUUGUGAGUACUGACUAGAACAGUGCAAUUAGAAUUCAUUAGGUGAGUCAGACGAACAGAAAUUUAACUCUAUUGUGUACUGAGUAGUUUCCCUGGAUAUUAUAGACGGCGUAUUGUUCGGCCUUGCAGUUGUAGCGACAGUGCAACUAUCGUACUAGGGGUGCACAGUAAGUAAUGCGAAACCCAAGAAUGGUUAUUGCGACAUGAAUUAGAAUUGGAUUUUGUAGGAUUGAAUUUAGAACGGUUGUCCAUUUGAGAAGGUCUAGGGAGCAAAAAUACCUCGCAACACAGAAAUCUAUGAAGUUGCGCAGUAAAGCAGCUAUCCAGAUUCGUGUUCUACGCCCACGCUUCCCACAACAGGAAGGGAAGGGAUAGAUAGUUCCAUAGAUCUGGAUUCACAUUGGUAAGUGAUGUGAGCUAUGCAACCCUUGAUAUGGUUUAGUCUUCCGCCAGCCGGCUGUCGGAAGAAUACAAUAAUUUUAUUGUAUGUUUGUGUAUUAAAUUUAAUUAUAUAACGGGUAUGAAUAUUUUUUAAACCACGCUUAUGUCGGAUCAACUCGUAAUAACGCACGUUUUAAGCUUAUCGUUUCUCAGUCAGAAAAUAAACUGUAUGCAAUUUCGUUUAGUGUUACUGCCAAUGCUGAAAAACCGAAACCCGCGCCGUAGCUUUACGACAAAACUGGACAACUAAACAACUAGAAUCGUUGCUUCUGAGUUUCAUCUAUGUGCUUGUACAUAUUAUUAUUUUUUUCCGCGUUCCCGUGUUAAUAAGAUUGCGGAUAAUAAAACCGUUGUACAUAUUUAUUAUCCGCGAAUGUUCGCGACGCGUAAUAUAAGUUGAAAAUGUGAUGAACGAAAAAAAACAUCGUUAAAAAACCGAAAUUAUGGUACUCGGCACGACGGCACGAAUAAAUCGACGCGGAAAACGUAGUCUACUUGUCACUGUAUCGUACGGUAAUAUUGACCUUUCUAAAGAAAGAGAUGCUUCGCCGUUUUGAUCGCUGAUUGCCUGCUUGUAAAUCUGAAAUAGAAAAAAGUAUUAAAUUGUGAUACGUUCUCCACUGUUAUAUUUUUGUAAAUUGUUAUUUAUGUAUAGUUUUAAUUUACCUCCAUCCCUCUGAAAAAAACGGUAUAUUAGCAGUGAAAAAUAAAUAGAAUAAAAAAAAUUUAAAUAGUGUAAAAAUGUACACCAAAUUUUGAUCCUGGAAUGUUCCUGCAUUUAAAUAAACCAGGCUGGAAAAUAGCAAGAUCAAAACUUGAAAUGGUAGAUCUUACACCGUAACGUACCAUCCCAAGGUGAUCUACCCACGUUACGGGUUUAUCCAACGAGGCUUGUCGAGUUGGAUAAAUACGAAGAGUGCAAAAAAAAAAAUCUAGUUUUGCAACGAGUUCCAUACAAAAUUUUAUGCAAUUCAGUAUCAUAAUUUA